This 727-nucleotide ribosomal RNA is filed under the name uncultured bacterium. RNAcentral describes it as "bacterial SSU rRNA". It matches the Rfam family "Bacterial small subunit ribosomal RNA", at positions 69 to 823 of the family's 1533-position model. The record is from RNAcentral.
GACUUCGGUUGGAAUUGGAACCGAUCAGCAGCGGACGGGUGAGUAAAGCACAAGGACGUAUCCUUUUGAGGGGGACAACUGCGGGAAACCGGAGCUAAUAGCCCAUAAGCCGAGAGGUGAAAGCGCGCAUGCGCGCAAGAGGACCGACUUGUGUCCUAUCAGGCAGUUGGUGAGGUAAGAGCUCACCAAACCGAAGACGGGUAGCCGGACUGAGAGGUUGUACGGCCACAUUGGAACUGAGAGACGGUCCAGACUCCUACGGGAGGCAUCACUGGGGAAUAUUGGGCAAUGGGGGCAACCCUGACCCAUCGACGCCGCGUGAGGGAAGACAGCCUUCGGGUUGUAAACCUCUGUUGCAGGGGAAGAAGGACGUGACGGUACCCUGCGAGGAAGCUCCGGCUAACUACGUGCCAGCAGCCGCGGUAAUACGUAGGGAGCGAGCGUUAUCCGGAAUUACUGGGCGUAAAGGGCGCGUAGGCGGUGACUCAAGUCGUUCGUUAAAUAUUGAGGCUUAACCUCAAGGAGCGGCCGAAACUGAGACACUGGAGACACAGAGAGGCAAACAGAAUUCCUGGUGUAGCGGUGAAAUGCGUAGAUAUCAGGAAUAAUACCGGUGGCGAAGGCGGUUUGCUGGGAUGUGAUCUGACGCUGAAGCGCGAAAGCCGGGGGAGCGAACGGGGAUUACAUACCCCGGUAGUCCCGGCAGUAAACGAUGUAUGCUGGGUGU